AACGCGAAGAACCUUACCAAGGCUUGACAUAUACAGGAAUACGGCAGAGAUGUCGUAGCCGCAAGGUCUGUAUACAGGUGGUGCAUGGUUGUCGUCAGCUCGUGUCGUGAGAUGUUGGGUUAAGUCCCGCAACGAGCGCAACCCUCGUCCUGUGUUACCAGCAUUUAGUUGGGGACUCACAGGAGACUGCCGGGGUCAACUCGGAGGAAGGUGGGGAUGACGUCAAAUCAUCAUGCCCCUUAUGUCUUGGGCUGCACGCAUGCUACAAUGGCUGGUACAAAGGGCUGCGAUACCGCGAGGUGGAGCGAAUCCCAAAAAGCCAGUCUCAGUUCGGAUUGGGGUCUGCAACUCGACCCCAUGAAGUCGGAGUUGCUAGUAAUCGUAGAUCAGCAACGCUACGGUGAAUACGUUCCCGGGUCUUGUACACACCG
RNAcentral lists this ribosomal RNA (431 nucleotides) under uncultured bacterium. RNAcentral's name for it is "bacterial SSU rRNA". It matches the Rfam family "Bacterial small subunit ribosomal RNA", at positions 958 to 1392 of the family's 1533-position model. The record is from RNAcentral.